This 295-nucleotide long non-coding RNA is filed under the name Carica papaya (papaya). Its description in RNAcentral is "long non-coding RNA (CPAP_LNC005871)". Lineage: Eukaryota; Viridiplantae; Streptophyta; Magnoliopsida; Brassicales; Caricaceae. The record is from RNAcentral.
UUAGGUCUACAAAUAUUUCUAUUUCCAAAGCUUUUGUCUCACAAUUUUUAUACACGCAGUGAGUUUCUAAUAAUCCCCUACAGGGAGUCUCUAUAGUUAAUGUUUUUGUUAAAGGUUCAGGCCUAACAUUUAAUUUACAAGUAAAUGCAAAAAAGAUAAAAGAGUGGGUAGCACCUAUAUCAAUCAAAGUCUUAGUAAAAGUAUCAUGAAUUGAAAGCAUACCCUGGAUAAGGACAGGAGUGGGGAAGGCACUGGUUUCAUCUAGGUGGUGAACACAACCUUAGGCUGUAGGUCU